UUUGGCGGAUUUGCAUAAACUGUACUCUGACUGUGAAAUUAUGACAUCUAGCUCGGAUGGAUUGGAUAAUGAAAUGGAUUGGACGAUAAAUCAAUCUAGGAAACAGAAAAGGACUGUGCCAGAGAGAAGCUCACGAGACAGAGCGAAAAGUUGGUCGGAUGACAGCGAGGCCAGGGCUGGGAAAAAGUCUAGAAAUAAUGAAAGGCGGAUAAAUAUGGAUCAAGCUCAGGAAAGCGACUGGAAAGUUAUGAUCGAAUUCUACCAGGAUGGUGGGCACUAUCACCCAAUCAAACUUACCAAAAUAAUCGAGGAAGAAAUUGGUAGAAUAAAAUUCGCCAGGUUUAUGAACAACAAACGAGUGCUGAUACAUGCAACCAGUAAACAACAACAAGAAAAAAUACUUAGAAUGUCAACACUUAAAGGAGAAAGGAUGAAAGCUCAUAUACCUGGAGCAAUGGCAAGCGUGAGAGGAGUUAUCUCAGGAGUCCCGCUAAGCAUGACAAUGGAAGAUGUGAAAAAAGAGAUAAAAGGAGGAAAAGUGACUGAGGCCACAAGGCUCAAAAGUAAAAGGGAUGGCACACUGAAGGAAACCCUGUCAGUAGUACUUCAGUUUGAAAAAGAUGUACCAAAUGCAGUACAGAUGGGAUAUGUGAAUUACCCAGUGAGGGAAUAUAUACCAAAGCCACUCAGGUGUUAUGCCUGCCAGAGAAUGGGACACACAGCGCAACAGUGCAAAGGUAAACUAAGGUGUGCAAGAUGUGGAGGGCCACAUGAGUAUGGAAAAUGUGACAAAGAUUCCAAGAUACAAUGUUGUAACUGUGGAGGAGAGCACAGUGCUGCCUAUGGAGGAUGUGUAGUGCAGAGGGAAGCCAGAGAGGCCCAGAGAAUUAAAAUAACUGAAAAAGUUUCAUAUGCAGAAGCACUGAAGAAAGUUAGGGGGACAGGAACAAAUGAUGAAAGAUUUAGUGGAAUGACACAAAGACAUGUAGCUCAGAGGGACAGUAAAACAACAGAUAAUCAGGACAAAACCCAAACCCCAGUGAUGGCCCAAAAUGUCUGCACGCACAAAUGUAAAGUUAAUGAUGAAACACUAGUGGUGAACAAAGUGAACUUUGUGGUCUUCAUCUGCCACACCAUUAAUGUUACGACACAACUGAAAAGGAAAAGUGACAGGAUCAAGGCCAUUGUGGAAGCAGCAGAAACAUUUCUGGAUAUGAAAGAUGUGAAAGCAGACCAGAUACAUGCAAUACUAAAGGAAAAUGAAGCUGCAGGAAAUACACAUGUGGAGGGUUAAUAUAUUGAUGAUGGUUCUACACAUACUUCAGUGGAAUGCAAGAAGUCUUAUAGCAAACGGACAAGAAUUUAAAAAGUUCAUACAUGAUUUAGAUACAGUUCCAGAUAUUAUUUGUGUACAGGAAACUUGGCUACAGCCCCAGCUAGAUUUUAUAAUUCCAGGGUUCAGUUCCAUAAGACAUGAUAGAAAUAACCAACAUGGAGGAGGGUGUGCUACUUUUUUCAAAGAUGGACUGGCCUAUAGGGAGAUUCCCUCCCCUGAGGAUAUUGAAUGUACUGUAGCAGAAAUUUAUAGCCCAAGAGAAGAAGGAAACAUUAAGUUAAUUAACUUCUAUAAUCCAUGUAGAAACUUAACUGUUGAAAGCUUCAAGGAAUUGGCAGGGAUCGUAGCUAAGAGAGAAAUAUGGUGUGGAGAUUUCAAUGCACACAGCAGUUUAUGGGGUAGUACUCACACGGAUAACAAUGGGGAUGUAGUGGAAGAAAUGAUGGAUGAAAGGUCUUUAGUAUGUCUUAACAGUGGAAUAGGUACAAGAGUGGAUGUGAACAGGGGUACGAUGUCAUGUUUGGAUCUGACAAUGGUGUCAGAUAGACUGGUGAAUGCGUGUGAGUGGUAUGUUAAGAAUAAUUCAACCGUAGGAAGUGAUCACUUCCCUGUGAUAACUAUUGUAAAUACAAGUGUAUGCCUUCAGGAAGGGAAUACGUUCACCAGGUGGUGCUUUGUUAAGGCAGACUGGGAAAAAUUUAAGAUGUGUUGUAAAGAGUCAGUACAUUUGAUUACACUAGAAGGAGACAUAGAGGAGUGCACGGAUCAGAUUACAGAACAUAUUCUAAAUGCAGCAAACCUGAGCAUACCAAAAAGAACUACAAAGGGCAGGAAGAAAGUGGUACCGUGGUGGAACGAGGAAUGCAGCAGAGCAAUUAAAGAACGAAACAAAGCAUUCAGAGCACUGAAGAAAAAUUUAUCACAAGAGAAUAUUAUAGAUUAUCAAAGGAAAAAGGCAGUGGCUCGUAGGAUCAUUAAAUACACUAAAAAGAGUACAUGGAGAGAUUUUUGUGCCACCAUAGGCAGAGGGGUCAAGCUGGGGGAUGUAUGGUCUAUGCUCAAGAGAAUGAGUGGGAAAAGGAAGUCAGCUUUAAUACCAGCACUAGUAGAUGGGGAGAAAAUGGCAGUGUCAGACAAAGAGAAGGCUGAUGUAUUAGGUACAGCAUUUGCUGCAGUUCAUAAUGGGGAGCACAUUGGUGAAUUACACAGGCAGCAGAAAGACCGCAUAUGCAGAGAAAAUGAGAAAGUGAGAGAGAAGAAAGAAGAUGACAUGUCAACGUUGAAUAUGGACCUAACAAGUCCAGAACUUAAAAUAGCCUUACAAGGUACAGGGUAUACAGCACCAGGACAGGACCAGUUAUGUUAUGCCAUGUUCCGGCAGCUACCAGAGGAAUCUUUAAAAAUGGUGUUGAGACUGUUUAAUAAAAUAUGGAGGGAGGGAACUCUGCCCAGUGGCUGGAAAAGAGCAAUAAUAUUGCCAUUUAAUAAACCAGGAAAGAAUCCUAAUAAUCCUAGUAACUAUAGACUCAUAGCCUUGACGUCUCACUUAUGUAAAUGGAUGGAGAAGAUAAUUGUUAUGAGGCUGUCAUAUGUUAUGGAACAGAGAGGGCUAUUUAAUAAUUCUCAGAGUGGAUUUAGGAAAGGACGAUCCACAAUGGAUGCUCUAGUUAGAGUUAGUAAUGAAGUAGAAAAGACAAUGAAAAUGAAAGAGUUAAUGAUAAUUGUAUAUUUUGAUAUAGAAAAAGCAUAUGAUUCCAUGUGGAGGGAUGGGUUGCUUAUCAAACUAAGUAGAAUGGGUAUUGGAGGGAGAUUAUAUAAUUGGAUUAUGGACUUCUUAACAGGCAGGAAAUUUAAUGUCAAGGUUGGAACAGAAGUUUCUAAAGAUUAUAAAAUUGAAAAUGGUAUUCCCCAGGGAAGUGCAAUCAGCCCUGUUCUGUUUAAUGUAAUGAUAAAUGAUAUUUUUACAAAGUUAGAUGGAUGCAUCGAAUCAGCGCUAUACGCAGAUGAUGGGGCCAUAUGGAUGAGGGGAAAAAAUGUGUCACAUGUCUGCAGGAAUAUCAGGAAAGCAAUAGAAAAAGUGGAAAAGUGGUCGUAUGAAUGGGGGUUCAAAAUGUCAGCCAGCAAGUCAUGUUACAUGAUCUUUACAAACAAGCGUAAGAUUGACAAUGAGAAGUUAACACUUUAUGAUCAGCCGAUGGAGAGGGUGAAUGAGUUCAAGUACCUGGGCCUAUAUUUAGAUCACAAGUAUACAUGGAAAGCACACAUUGAACAUUUGGCAACAAAGUGCAAAAAGGUUAUUAAUUUACUACGGGCUGUAGCAGGCUGUGACUGGGGGGCAGAUAAAAAAUCAUUAAUUGACAUAUACAGGGCAGUUAUGAGAUCAACAAUAGAUUAUGGCAGUAUAGUUUACGGAGCAGCAGCUAAAACUUCAUUACAAAAAGUAGACAGACUGCAGUAUAGAGCACUGAGAAUUUGCAUAGGAGCCAUUAGGUCAACACCCAUAAACGCAAUAUUAAUAGAAGCAGGAGAGACACCACUGGAUUUAAGAAGGGAUAAACUGGCACUUACAUACUGGAUACGUUUAAAAGGGAGUGGGGAAGAAAACCUUACAACGAGGACAAUAAAGGACUGUUGGGAAUACUCUAAAUUCCAGAGACAUGGGUUUGGGUGGUCAAGGGAUGAAAGGUUGAGAAGAUAUGGAAUGGAGACAUUAAAAUUCACUAAAUACACACCUAUGAGUAACAUACCUCCUUGGCUAUUCCCAGAAGCAAAAGUUGACAUGAGCAUACUGGAACGGAAAAAAGAAUGGAGAAUGAACGAAGUAGGCGGUAAAGCAAGUAUUUACCUGAGAAAUAGUUACUACAACUACCUGGAAAUUUACACAGAUGGGUCAAAAAAUCAAAAGGAUUGUGUGGGAAUAGGUGUAUUUAUCCCUGAGUUUGAUGUGAAUAUCUCUAAAAGAUUAUCCAACCAACUAUCAGUAUACACAGCAGAAAUGGUGGCAGUCUACAUUGGGUUACAGUGGGUGGAAGAGGUUAGUCCUGAUAAGGUGGUGGUGUGCACAGACUCAAUAGCGGUAUUAGAAAGUAUAAAAUCAACAACAACGUGCAGAGAAGAUUUACUCAUUGAUAUUUCUCACAGUUUAUUAAGAUUACACAGACGUGGCAUAGAUGUUCAGUUCUGUUGGGUACCAGCACAUGAGGGAGUAACAGGGAACGAGGGUGCUGAUAAACUAGCAAAAAUGGCUCUACAUAAGGAAAUAACAUUACCAGUUCCACUAGGAAAAGGAGAAGGUAAAGCAAUAAUUAAAAAGAAAGGAAUGGAAAUAUGGCAGAAAAGGUGGGAGGAAGAUCAGAAAGGACAGGGAUAUCACAUAAUACAAAAGACUAUAAUAACAAAGAAUUAUACUGAAAGGAACAGAAGGGAGGAAACAGUUAUAACAAGACUCAGACUGGACCACACAGGACUAAAUGGCACCUUGCAUGUAAUGGGAAAAAGGGAUAGUGAUAAAUGUGAGAACUGUGGAAUAAAAGAAAACGGUGAACAUAUCCUAAUGCACUGUAACAGGUAUAAAAUAGAAAGAGAGCGACUACAGGAAAAAGUGAGAGAGGCAGGACGUGAGUGGAAUUUGAAGGGGAUACUGGGAACAGAGGGAGAGGGGGUGGAAAUCACCAGAAAGGCAUUAAUUCAUUUCCUAAAAACACUAGGCUGAUAAACAGAAUUUAAACCGGGCUAAAUGAAAUAAUUUCACACACUCUUGUACAGUAGGUGGCGGUAUGCACCUGAAAGUUGCUUGCGAUCCGCCAAUAAACUGAGAGAAGAAGAAGAAGAAGACUCCUUUACUUCUGACUUUCAUUAUGAAGACUGCAGGCUUCUUCCUGAGGGUUUCCCUCUGUAUGUUGUUGAUUGUGGAGUCAUCUGGGAUGCAUUUGAAGGGAUCAAAAUCUCACCAACAGAGUGGUGGUGGCGGCAGUGGGGCUGGUGGCAACUUUGCCUCCUACCAGGGAGCACCCACAGGUCAUUCAGCACCAGUACUCUACAGUGCCCCUAGACUGGUAUCUGCACCAGUACUUGUCCAAAACCCUAACGCCCCUCAGCUUGUUGGCUACACAACUCCAGUAGGGAGCAGCCUGGACUCAGCUGCACCUGCUGUUGGUAGUGGGUCGGCCGUGCCCCUUCAGGCUGGCGCUGUCGGUAGUGGGUCGGCCGUGCCCCUUCAGGCAGGACCUGUCGGUACUGGGUCUGUUGUGCCCCUUCAGCCUGGCUAUGUUGUCUCUGGUUCUUCUGUACCCUUUCAAGCAGGAGCCGUUGGUUCAGGGCCGGCUGGAGCUGAAACCGAGUGGGCUGUUCCUCCCCAAAGCUUGACUGAAGCAGCAGAUGAUGCCCAGACCAUGGAUGCCAGUGGCUUUCUCCCAUCACCCCCUCUACCACCACCUCAACCUAGCUUCCAGGCAGGAGAAGCUGCCAGUGUUAUGAGGGAAGCUGAACUUGGCAACUUCCAGCGGCAGACGGAAGAAUUUGGCUAUCCAGCUGACCAACUGGGCCAAGGACAGCAGGGAUUCACAAGUGUGGUUCACCAGUUUGGUGUGGGUGGUUUCUCGGCUCACCCCUAUCCAGACUUUGACUACAAACUCCUGUAUGGCCUGUACCCUCCUGGCACCCAGACUACCUUCAGCCAGCACCAUGAGAAGGGCAAAGACUUCUCGCAGGCCGUCCACUACUUGACGGAGCAUGCUUCUGACGACCAUGGUUCUGUGCAGCAGAAAAAGGUCUUCCAAGCUGCCUCCUAGACUUCUGCAGGAAAUGCUUAGGCGUCUCAAUGCUGGCAGAAAUAUGUCCUCUGCAUAAAAUAUUCUGAUCAAUUUUGGCCAAUAAAGAUU
This is an RNA transcript of Cololabis saira (Pacific saury), 6216 nucleotides long. RefSeq lists it as uncharacterized. The transcript has 4 exons. NCBI's taxonomy places the organism in Eukaryota, Metazoa, Chordata, Actinopteri, Beloniformes, Belonidae. The record is from RefSeq and is a predicted model, not a curated record.